RNAcentral lists this long non-coding RNA (892 nucleotides) under Brassica rapa (field mustard). Its description in RNAcentral is "long non-coding RNA (BRAP_LNC005225)". The record is from RNAcentral. Lineage: Eukaryota; Viridiplantae; Streptophyta; Magnoliopsida; Brassicales; Brassicaceae.
AAAGGCUAAUCACGGUUUAAAAUAAGGGACCUUAAAAUAACGCUCAGUGCUUUUAGAUACAUAUAAUCACAAUACAAACAUUGUAAAGGUGACCUACACGGCGGCGGAAAGUCUCUCUCCUUUGCCGGAUCCGGCGCCGACAACGAAGGUAGACCUCACCAAACUCUUCUCUUUCUUCUCGUCCACCGUAAUCUGCUGCUGCCUGCACUCUAAGCUACAAAACGCCCUAUCUCCUCUGCUUAAAUUAUAGCAAUUAAAAUCGUUAAUUAAUUCCUUAUUAAAUACAUCCAAAACCACUAGGUUAAGCUUAAUUAUAUAUAAAUGAUUAAGUAGAAAGGUAAUUUCACGUAAAUAUGUAAAAGAAAUAAAUACCUAUACAUAUAGAUGUCUCGGCCAGGAACAAGAAGGCGUUUACAGAGGGAGCAGGAUCUCAGAAAAUCUGCUCCGGCGUGAGUGGAGUGAUCUGCUGAGUGUCUCCUCUGUGUACCUCUCGGUGAGACCGUCGCUAAGAGCCGUUGAUCUAACAGUCCAUGAUGAGCCUGGCGCUGUUCAUCAACGGUCACGAGCUUACCUUUCGGAUUACUCAACAUCUGAACUUGAUGAUCGGACGGCUCCUCUGGCUCGUUAGGUAAGUUCAAGUCGAACUUUAUCUCCGACAGACUCGUCGUUCUCUUUAUCUGUGGUCUCUGUCUCUUCCCUAACAACAUCUUAUUCUUGUUUUUUUAUUUCUUGUUCCUCUCUUUUUUAGGGUUUAUGCUCUGAGUGAACAGAGCAAAAGCUUAAGAAAAAGUGGGAGGAAGUGAAAGAAAAGAGACUAAAAGAAGAGCCAUAAACUGAGGAGUAAAUCUGAACCGUUGAUUGUUUCUGAUCUGAUUCUUUUCCCAUCAUGUUG